UCCUGGCUACGAGGACGACGCUGGCGGCGUGCCUAACACAUGCAAGUCGAACGGAGUUUGAGAAGCUUGCUUCUCAAACUUAGUGGCGGACGGGUGAGUAACGCGUGAGUAACCUGCCUUUCAGAGGGGGAUAACGUUCUGAAAAGAACGCUAAUACCGCAUGAGACUACAGAACCGCAUGGUUCAGUGGUCAAAGGAGCAAUCCGCUGAAAGAUGGACUCGCGUCCGAUUAGAUAGUAGGCGGGGUAACGGCCCACCUAGUCGACGAUCGGUAGCCGGACUGAGAGGUUGAUCGGCCACAUUGGGACUGAGACACGGCCCAGACUCCUACGGGAGGCAGCAGUGAGGGAUAUUCGGCAAUGGGGGAAACCCUGACCGAGCAACGCCGCGUGAGGGAAGACGGUUUUCGGAUUGUAAACCUCUGUCCUCUGUGAAGAUAGUGACGGUAGCAGAGGAGGAAGCUCCGGCUAACUACGUGCC
RNAcentral lists this ribosomal RNA (480 nucleotides) under uncultured bacterium. Its description in RNAcentral is "bacterial SSU rRNA". It matches the Rfam family "Bacterial small subunit ribosomal RNA", at positions 17 to 509 of the family's 1533-position model. The record is from RNAcentral.